This 1041-nucleotide long non-coding RNA is filed under the name Vombatus ursinus (common wombat). RNAcentral's name for it is "lncRNA (ENSVURG00010004001.1)". Lineage: Eukaryota; Metazoa; Chordata; Mammalia; Diprotodontia; Vombatidae. The record is from RNAcentral.
GGGUCUGAGCGUCUUGGCUUCAUAGAAUCUCAGAGUUGGGAGGGAUAUUAAAAGUCAACCAUUAUAUUAACUCAUAUUUCCAUAGCAUUAUAGAACAUACAAAGAGCUUUCCUUGAGACAGUUAUCAAGGCCAAACUCUAAUGGUACCCGAAUUCUCUCUAUGAUAGUCAGUCUUUGCUGGAAGACCUCCAAGGACGGGAAGGUCAGUAAUUCCUUACUAGCUGUGUGACUUUGGGGAAAUUACCUUAUCUCUCUGAGUGUCUGUUCUGUCAUCUUUCAAAUGGUGAUGAUAAUACUAACACAACCUAUUGUUUUGGUAGGCUUACCUUGGAAGUUUUAAAGGGCUGUGGAAAUGAAUGCCAUUAUCAUUAUUAUCAUCAUCAGUAGCCUCUUCCAUUUCUGGAGUGGUCUGACUGUUGGAAAGUCAAUCUGUGACAGGUGGAAUGACUUUGCCCAGUGAUAAAACCUUGGGUGGAGGAGGAUGGAAGGAAGAAAGGAUACCUAUCAAUCAAUCAGUCAAGCCUCCCAAACACUAAGCUAGCUCUGGAAAUGUGUGUAUAAAUCUCAUCAUUUGUGUGUACGUCCCUGGAAAGUUUUCUGCCAAGCCAGACAGCCAGACAGACAGCCAGACCCCAGGGCCUGCCUACAAGCCCUGCAGGGAGGACGAAGAAGCCCUCCGCAAACAUGGAAUACCAUGGAAACGCCAGAGCAGCAGCUUCAGAGAUGAGAAGAGCCAAGGUUGCCAGGACUGAAAAGCCCAGGAGGAGAGGAGACUACUAAAUAAGAACCGGGCACAGAGCUGGGGCUGCUGGGUCUGCAGCGCUUGGCCCUUUGUAGCUCCUGGGGAAAUCACUGCCUUCGGAUAGCUCUUCCAAAGCCGGGUCUCCUGCUUCCCGCCCCUUGCGUUUGGAAUCAGAGCUACUGCUGAGCAUCUGAAGCCCCCAAAACAAAAUCAGCCUCCCUCAGUCCCUGGCUGAGAGGGAUUGCCUAACACCAGGAAGGGAAAAGACAGAUCCCUGCCUCUUGGCUGGCUACCUGAUC